CUAUGUGUUGUUGGGUAGGGGAGCGUUCUGUAAGCCUGCGAAGGUGUACUGUGAGGUAUGCUGGAGGUAUCAGAAGUGCGAAUGCUGACAUAAGUAACGAUAAAGCGGGUGAAAAGCCCGCUCGCCGGAAGACCAAGGGUUCCUGUCCAACGUUAAUCGGGGCAGGGUGAGUCGACCCCUAAGGCGAGGCCGAAAGGCGUAGUCGAUGGGAAACAGGUUAAUAUUCCUGUACUUGGUGUUACUGCGAAGGGGGGACGGAGAAGGCUAUGUUGGCCGGGCGACGGUUGUCCCGGUUUAAGCGUGUAGGCUGGUUUUCCAGGCAAAUCCGGAAAAUCAAGGCUGAGGCGUGAUGACGAGGCACUACGGUGCUGAAG
This 374-nucleotide ribosomal RNA is filed under the name Escherichia coli. Its description in RNAcentral is "partial 23S ribosomal RNA". It matches the Rfam family "Bacterial large subunit ribosomal RNA", at positions 1214 to 1590 of the family's 2925-position model. The record is from RNAcentral. Lineage: Bacteria; Pseudomonadati; Pseudomonadota; Gammaproteobacteria; Enterobacterales; Enterobacteriaceae.